UACGUAGGCAGCGAGCGUUGUUCGGAAUUACUGGGCGUAAAGAGUGUGUAGGCGGUGCUCCAAGUCUGUUGUGAAAUCUCCCGGCUUAACUGGGAGGGUGCGGCGGAAACUAGAGUGCUAGAGGGUGGGAGAGGUAAGCGGAAUUCCUGGUGUAGCGGUGAAAUGCGUAGAUAUCUGGAGGAACACCGGUGGCGAAGGCGGCAUCCUGGACCGACACUGACGCUGAGGAGCGAAAGCCAGGGGAGCAAACGGG
Molecule: ribosomal RNA, 253 nt
Filed under: uncultured bacterium
Lineage: Bacteria
Description: partial 16S ribosomal RNA
Rfam family: Bacterial small subunit ribosomal RNA
Source: RNAcentral